Long non-coding RNA from Gavialis gangeticus (Gharial), 379 nucleotides. RefSeq lists it as uncharacterized. Lineage: Eukaryota; Metazoa; Chordata; Crocodylia; Gavialidae. The record is from RefSeq and is a predicted model, not a curated record. The transcript has 2 exons.
GAAGACUCCAGGAAAGGUAAACAACUUGCCCUCAUAGACCAAGAGGGAGGGCAAAUUAUUAAAUGUGCUACUAACAUUCCCCCAUCAUGUAAGUGGUAUGAAGUAGCCUGUACUGUACAAAUGUAUACCUUCACUAAAGGUGCUCCCUUUCCUUGGUUUGCACUAGUAAUAGGUUUAACUGUAGGACAAAUAUUGCUCAAUAUAAUCCUUAGAUGUUGUUGUUAUAAAAUUGGUCCUUCCUCGUGUUUAUGCCAAAAUAAAUGGUGUUGCUUGUACUAAUGUUACAUAUGCUGCCUGGCAAGAGUCAUAUUUGUAAAACAAUUGCAGAUGCUCCAAGAAGCAAGGGGUGGAUUGUGAUGGCCAGAACUAAAGGGGUUAA